This 476-nucleotide ribosomal RNA is filed under the name uncultured bacterium. RNAcentral's name for it is "bacterial SSU rRNA". It matches the Rfam family "Bacterial small subunit ribosomal RNA", at positions 28 to 518 of the family's 1533-position model. The record is from RNAcentral.
GAUGAACGCUAGCGGCAGGCUUAAUACAUGCAAGUCAAGGGGGUAGCAAUACAACCGGCGCACGGGUGAGUAACACGUACACAACAUACCAUAUACUGAGGUAUAGCUUCGGGAAACUGAAGGUAAUCCCUCAUAGUAUUGUGAAAGGGCACCUUUUUACAAUUAAAGUUUCGACGGUAUAUGAUUGGUGUGCGUUUGAUUAGCUAGUUGGUAGGGUAACGGCCUACCAAGGCAACGAUCAAUAGCUGGCGUGAGAGCGCGACCAGCCACACUGGAACUGAGACACGGUCCAGACUCCUACGGGAGGCAGCAGUAGGGAAUAUUGGACAAUGGGCGAAAGCCUGAUCCAGCCAUGCCGCGUGAUAGAUGAAGGCCCUCUGGGUUGUAAAUAUCUUUAUCUGGAGAAACACUUCUAUUCUUAGAAGCUUGACGGUACCAGAGGAAUAAGCACCGGCUAACUCCGUGCCAGCAGCCGC